Molecule: non-coding RNA, 377 nt
Organism: Dipodomys spectabilis (banner-tailed kangaroo rat)
Lineage: Eukaryota; Metazoa; Chordata; Mammalia; Rodentia; Heteromyidae
Source: the annotation of a RefSeq genome assembly
GUAGCAGUCUGUCUCAGUCAGCACACAGCAUGGACGUGAGGAUCCCUGCUCAGCUCCUGGGGCUCCUGCUGCUCUGGCUCCCAGAUGCGAGGUGUGACAUCCAGAUGACCCAGUCCCCAUCCACCUUGUCUGCAUCUGUAGGAGGCACAGCCACCAUCACUUGCAGAGCCAGUGGAAACAUUUAUAGCUAUUUAGCCUGGUACCAGCAGAAACUAGGGAAAGCCCCUAAACUCCUGAUCUAUGGUAGUAAUAAUUUGGCAUCUGGAGUUCCAUCCAGGUUCAGUGGCAGUGGAUCUGGGACAGAUUAUUCUCUCACCAUCAGCAGCCUGCAGCCUAAAGAUGUUGCCACUUAUUACUGUCAACAUGAUCAUGACUAG